AGUGAACGCUGGCGAUAGGCCUAACACAUGCAAGUCGAACGGCAGCACAGUAAGAGCUUGCUCUUACGGGUGGCGAGUGGCGGACGGGUGAGGAAUACAUCGGAAUCUACUUUUUCGUGGGGGAUAACGUAGGGAAACUUACGCUAAUACCGCAUACGACCUACGGGUGAAAGCAGGGGAUCUUCGGACCUUGCGCGAUUGAAUGAGCCGAUGUCGGAUUAGCUAGUUGGCGGGGUAAAGGCCCACCAAGGCGACGAUCCGUAGCUGGUCUGAGAGGAUGAUCAGCCACACUGGAACUGAGACACGGUCCAGACUCCUACGGGAGGCAGCAGUGGGGAAUAUUGGACAAUGGGCGCAAGCCUGAUCCAGCCAUACCGCGUGGGUGAAGAAGGCCUUCGGGUUGUAAAGCCCUUUUGUUGGGAAAGAAAAGCAGCAGGUUAAUACCCCGCUGUUCUGACGGUACCCAAAGAAUAAGCACCGGCUAACCUCGUG
Molecule: ribosomal RNA, 492 nt
Filed under: uncultured bacterium
Lineage: Bacteria
Description: partial 16S ribosomal RNA
Rfam family: Bacterial small subunit ribosomal RNA
Source: RNAcentral